This 119-nucleotide ribosomal RNA is filed under the name Klebsiella pneumoniae. The record is from RNAcentral. Lineage: Bacteria; Pseudomonadati; Pseudomonadota; Gammaproteobacteria; Enterobacterales; Enterobacteriaceae.
UGGCGGCACUAGCGCGGUGGUCCCACCUGACCCCAUGCCGAACUCAGAAGUGAAACGCCGUAGCGCCGAUGGUAGUGUGGGGUCUCCCCAUCCAUGUGAGAGUAGGGAACUGCCAGGCA